Molecule: ribosomal RNA, 253 nt
Filed under: uncultured bacterium
Lineage: Bacteria
Description: partial 16S ribosomal RNA
Rfam family: Bacterial small subunit ribosomal RNA
Source: RNAcentral
UACGUAGGGUGCAAGCGUUGUCCGGAUUUAUUGGGUUUAAAGGGUGCGUAGGCGGCCUUGUAAGUCAGUGGUGAAAUACUCCAGCUUAACUGGAGGGGUGCCAUUGAUACUGCAGGGCUUGAGUUAAGUUGAAGUUGGCGGAAUUGACGGUGUAGAGGUGAAAUGCGUAGAUAUGGGGAAGAACACCGAUAGUGAAGGCAGCUAACUAAACUUUUACUGACGCUGAGGCGCGAAAGUGUGGGGAUCAAACAGG